Manduca sexta (tobacco hornworm) is the source of this 405-nucleotide long non-coding RNA. RefSeq lists it as uncharacterized. The record is from RefSeq and is a predicted model, not a curated record. The transcript has 3 exons. NCBI's taxonomy places the organism in Eukaryota, Metazoa, Arthropoda, Insecta, Lepidoptera, Sphingidae.
CAGGUACACACACGUCUGACGUACCUGCGUCACCUGAUCGUGUCGCUAGCGCAGGCGCGCGACAUCGACCGUACUUUGCUCGUGUUCUCACACGAUUACUAUGAUGAAGAGAUCAACACUCUAGUCAGGAGUAUCGACUUUACUAAGGUAAUACAAAUAUUCUACCCGUACUCGAUACAAACGCACCCCAACGAGUUCCCCGGGAUGGAUCCCAACGACUGCCCCCGAGAUGCCAAGUUUGAACAGGCAAUGAAACUAAAGUGCAUAAACGCGUUGCACCCCGACCUCCACGGACACUACAGGGAGGCGAAAUACGCUCAAACAAAACACCACUGGUGGUGGAAGGCCAACAGGAUCUUCAACCAGCUGCAGUGCACCGCUAAUCAUACUGGUAAGGGAAAUACC